AAAUUUUUGAAACUUUUAAUAUAUACAAUGUCUUCGACGUUUAACAAUUCAAACUUUCUUUAGGCUAAGAUAAAGCAACUUGAGUAUCAUAUUUUGGUCGUACGGGAGCAACUUAAAAGGAAUUGUGUCUCGUAUAGUGUCGAGUAUUGGAAAUUAUGCGAUGAACUUGAACUUUUUGAAACAAGUCUUGCAACUUUAAAAGCACAUUACGAG
RNAcentral lists this long non-coding RNA (213 nucleotides) under Panax ginseng (ginseng). Its description in RNAcentral is "long non-coding RNA (PGIN_LNC006137)". Lineage: Eukaryota; Viridiplantae; Streptophyta; Magnoliopsida; Apiales; Araliaceae. The record is from RNAcentral.